RNAcentral lists this ribosomal RNA (181 nucleotides) under Sphaerochaeta sp. RNAcentral describes it as "partial 23S ribosomal RNA". It matches the Rfam family "Bacterial large subunit ribosomal RNA", at positions 2753 to 2925 of the family's 2925-position model. The record is from RNAcentral. Lineage: Bacteria; Pseudomonadati; Spirochaetota; Spirochaetia; Spirochaetales; Sphaerochaetaceae.
GUUCGGAAGGGAUAACCGCUGAAAGCAUCUAAGUGGGAAACCCUCCUCAAGAUGAGACAUCCCGUGCCCUUGAAGGGCACUGAAGGAACCAGGGAGAAUACCUGGUCGAUAGGCUGGAGGUCGAAGCGUGGCAACACGUGUAGCCGACCAGUACUAAUCAGCCGUGAGGCUUGACCAUAUU